Molecule: long non-coding RNA, 2228 nt
Filed under: Nicotiana benthamiana
Lineage: Eukaryota; Viridiplantae; Streptophyta; Magnoliopsida; Solanales; Solanaceae
Description: long non-coding RNA (NBEN_LNC027015)
Source: RNAcentral
UCAACCUGGCCAUAAUUUAGCCAUUACCCUGUCCACUCAUUCAGCUGACCAAACGACCCCGUUUCCCAGGCUCUCGAUCUGAGCCGGUUAUCUUGUAUGAUCAGAUGGCCAGGAACUAAAUCUCUAUAGGAUAUAACUGUCCGAAAAUCCCCCACCCCCAGAACCCCCCUCAAUCUGCUUCGUCUCCAAACCUCUGACCCUAGAGAGACCACCGCCCUCAGAUGCUGACCUUCAUCUUCGGUUGCAGCGACGCCAUAAACCACUUCAAUCUACCCAAAAUAACACCACAGAAACACCUCACCUUCCUAUUUCCAAAUCCCAACAUAUCUUCUCUCAAAUCCCUCUCAAUCCCUUUGAAUCUCGAAUUAAAGUUCGAAGCCCCAAAAAGGCUAAAUUGUUCUGCCGUUGAUUUUGUAGCAUGCAUGGCCACAUGCGUCCGAGUUUUCAAGUUUUUAAAGUCUAAUUUGGCAAAAGCAGUGUUGGUCAUCUGUUCUUAGCAAAGAACAAGAGAUUAACACUGGCUGCGUUAAAUCAAAAGUCCAAUACUGGUUUCGAGGGAAAAUCGGUAAGUUUUCUUUAUUUUCUUUUCCGUCUUGUGCUGUUUCAUCUUCCUACUCCUUUCUUUAUUUCGUUUCUUUAAAUACUUGAUCCUCUGAUUGAAAAAUUUAUAAAAGGGUCUCAAACCUAGUUUUCCCUUUUGAUUAAAUUAGUGGUCGUAUUUGUUCCUUUGAAUUUUCAGUUUCCCUCUUUAAUGUUUUUUAAAAUGAUGUUAUAUGUUUUUUUUUCGCUUAAUUACGACACUAUCUUUUGGUAAUUAGCUUGAGUUAGAUCUGGUUAAUUUGGUAAUGUGGUUUAAUUGUAGCUCACUAGUUAAUCUUAAAAGGGAGUCAGUCAUUUAGCUAGAAUGUUGAUAUUGAAAUUGUUUAGUUGUUUAAUUUUUCUGAUUUCUCAUUGAAUAGCCAACAUAAAGCUCCUAUUUUGUUUGGUCCAGGGGUUCAAUUCCGACCCAUUUUCAAAGAACAUCCCAUUCAUUUGGGCUAAAGUCAUUGUGUUAAUGGACUCAUUUGGUUGCCUGAAAGUAAAAAAGCAAGUGUUUAAAGGGUAUUUUGGGUAGUUUAGCCUAUGAAAUCUUGCAUAACUAACUUAAGAAGCUUCCUAGAAGCUGGGGUUGGGGCUUAAAUGAAAAUAUGAUUUUUACACUAAGAGUAUCUAAGCAAAAAUAAAAAUAUGAAAAGGUUUCAAGUGCAAAACUGAAUUCCUUUAUGCAGCCCUAAAAGCUUGCCUAUAAAGGCACACUUUCUUCAAGAACAAGUCAGGAUUCGGAAAUUGAAAAUUAUAUAAGAAAUAAAAAACGUCUGAGUCUUCUUCUAAGUAAAAAAAGGCUGAAAAUUGCUUGAGUCAGGCUUGGUUUCAAUUCUCUGUUUUCCUUGAAUAAUUGAUAAUUUCUAAAAAGCUUCUGAGGUCGUGUAUCUAGGCUUGAGAAUAUUUCGAAUUGGUUUGAAGUUUUGGUUUCAUUUGCUUUUCAUAUCACAGUUCUAUUGCUAAAAUCUGGUUGUUCUCUUCUUCUCCAUUUUGAGUUCAUUUCCUGUUGUUCUACUGUUGUAAUCAGGUAUCUUCUACAUCUCAUGGAUGUGUGAAAUAAAAGGAUCUGAAGCUAUGCUAUUGGGCCAAAGCUUGUGUUACAUUGCCUCUUCUUUUAUAUGUUACAUUCUCGCUGUAAUUUCAUGUCAAUCCAUAAUAUAUAUAGCCUUUUUCAUGUAACUCAUUUAGUGAUUUUAGUUGUUGUCUUUAAGCUCCAUUUGUACAUAGGAAGAACACUUUUAUUUUAGUCGAUUUGGUUUGUGAAUGGUUUAAGUUUCUGUUUGUAUGUAUGGAUUGUAGGGAAUUAGUGUAAUUUCAAAAGAAUAAACAUGUCCCAUAUAUGCUUUAGUUUGAGAAAUCAGUGUUGUUGAGGGAACUUGUCUGAACAUGUCUAAAUUGAUGCUCUUAAGGUCUGAACCAGAAAUUGUCAUGAUAAAGUUCAUCUAGUGCUGCAUCUAAUGUUUGAAAAAUCAUGUAGUACUCUACUUUGUUAAAAUCAUUGAUGAUUUUAAAGCCAUCACUUAGUUUACAAUCACUUGGAUAAAAAUGGUUUGGGUGACGACCUUAAGGGUCAAGCUAUGCGUUGAUUUACUUAUGGUGUGACUUUAAGCAUGUUAGUUUGAGAUAGAUGUUCAGAUUCAUAUUUG